This 148-nucleotide signal recognition particle RNA is filed under the name Gorilla gorilla gorilla (western lowland gorilla). RNAcentral describes it as "Metazoan signal recognition particle RNA". It matches the Rfam family "Metazoan signal recognition particle RNA". From Rfam's summary of the family: The signal recognition particle (SRP) is a universally conserved ribonucleoprotein. It is involved in the co-translational targeting of proteins to membranes. The eukaryotic SRP consists of a 300-nucleotide 7S RNA and six proteins: SRPs 72, 68, 54, 19, 14, and 9. Lineage: Eukaryota; Metazoa; Chordata; Mammalia; Primates; Hominidae. The record is from Rfam by way of RNAcentral.
GCCGGGUGUGGUGGCGUGCGCCUGUAGUCCCAGCUACUUGGGAGGCUGAGGCAGGAGAAUUGCUUGGACCCGGGAGGCGGGGGUUGCAGUGAGCCGAGAUCACGCCACUGUACUCCAGCCCGGGUGACAGAGUGAGACUCUGUCCCCA